GGGGUUGUGGCUCAGAGGUAGAGCGCUCGUCUAGCACAUGCGAGGACCUGAGUUUGAUCCUCAGCAUCACAU
RNAcentral lists this transfer RNA (72 nucleotides) under Marmota marmota marmota (Alpine marmot). It matches the Rfam family "tRNA". Rfam says of the family: Transfer RNA (tRNA) molecules are approximately 80 nucleotides in length. Their secondary structure includes four short double-helical elements and three loops (D, anti-codon, and T loops). Lineage: Eukaryota; Metazoa; Chordata; Mammalia; Rodentia; Sciuridae. The record is from Rfam by way of RNAcentral. RNAcentral also lists the same sequence under 1 other name.